GAUUAAGUUAUUAAGGGCGCACGGUGGAUGCCUUGGCACUAGAAGCCGAUGAAGGACGUUACUAACGACGAUAUGCUUUGGGGAGCUGUAAGUAAGCUUUGAUCCAGAGAUUUCCGAAUGGGGAAACCCAGCAUGAGUUAUGUCAUGUUAUCGAUAUGUGAAUACAUAGCAUAUCAGAAGGCACACCCGGAGAACUGAAACAUCUUAGUACCCGGAGGAAGAGAAAGAAAAUUCGAUUCCCUUAGUAGCGGCGAGCGAAACGGGAAGAGCCCAAACCAACAAGCUUGCUUGUUGGGGUUGUAGGACACUCUAUACGGAGUUACAAAGGACGACAUUAGACGAAUCAUCUGGAAAGAUGAAUCAAAGAAGGUAAUAAUCCUGUAGUCGAAAAUGUUGUCUCUCUUGAGUGGAUCCUGAGUACGACGGAGCACGUGAAAUUCCGUCGGAAUCUGGGAGGACCAUCUCCUAAGGCUAAAUACUCUCUAGUGACCGAUAGUGAACCAGUACCGUGAGGGAAAGGUGAAAAGCACCCCGGAAGGGGAGUGAAAUAGAACCUGAAACCGUGUGCUUACAAGUAGUCAGAGCCCGUUAAUGGGUGAUGGCGUGCCUUUUGUAGAAUGAACCGG
This 626-nucleotide ribosomal RNA is filed under the name Staphylococcus aureus. Its description in RNAcentral is "partial 23S ribosomal RNA". It matches the Rfam family "Bacterial large subunit ribosomal RNA", at positions 1 to 623 of the family's 2925-position model. The record is from RNAcentral. Lineage: Bacteria; Bacillati; Bacillota; Bacilli; Caryophanales; Staphylococcaceae.